RNAcentral lists this ribosomal RNA (294 nucleotides) under Alloglossidium corti. RNAcentral's name for it is "partial 18S ribosomal RNA". It matches the Rfam family "Eukaryotic small subunit ribosomal RNA", at positions 621 to 830 of the family's 1831-position model. The record is from RNAcentral. Lineage: Eukaryota; Metazoa; Platyhelminthes; Trematoda; Plagiorchiida; Alloglossidiidae.
AAAAAGCUCGUAGUUGGAUCUGGGUCGUAUGGCUAUGUGCCGUCGCUCGUUUCUUUGGCUUGGUUUCGAUCAGGUCAAGGUUGCGGGUCGGUGUCGUGGCUGUGCAGCCUUUAUGCCGUGUCUGUUAUCAGGUGUCAACUUAAUCGGCGGGCUCGCUCGCUGGUUGGAUGGCAUGCUCCCAGAUGUCUUUAAACGGGUGUCGGGGGCGGACGGUGCGUUUACUUUGAACAAAUUUGAGUGCUCAAAGCAGGCUUGUGCCUGAAAAUUCUUGCAUGGAAUAAUGGAAUAGGACUU